GAUGAACGCUAGCGAUAGGCCUAACACAUGCAAGUCGAGGGGCAUCACAUGAAGUAGCAAUACGGAUGGUGGCGACCGGCGCACGGGUGAGUAACACGUAUGCAACCUGCCUUCAACAAGGGGAUAACCCGUUGAAAGACGGACUAAUACCCUAUAACACAGGGGUCCCGCAUGGGGAUAUUUGUUAAAGGACAACCGGUUGAAGAUGGGCAUGCGUUCCAUUAGCUAGUUGGCGGGGUAAGGGCCCACCAAGGCAACGAUGGAUAGGGGAACUGAGAGGUUUAUCCCCCACACUGGUACUGAGACACGGACCAGACUCCUACGGGAGGCAGCAGUGAGGAAUAUUGGUCAAUGGACGCAAGUCUGAACCAGCCACGUCGCGUGAAGGAAGGCGGCCCUACGGGUUGUAAACUUCUUUUGCAAGGGAAUAAAGUGGGCCACGUGUGGCCUUUUGCAAGUACCUUGCGAAUAAGGAUCGGCUAACUCCGUG
Molecule: ribosomal RNA, 490 nt
Filed under: uncultured bacterium
Lineage: Bacteria
Description: bacterial SSU rRNA
Rfam family: Bacterial small subunit ribosomal RNA
Source: RNAcentral